This is a transfer RNA of Naumovozyma castellii, 134 nucleotides long. It matches the Rfam family "tRNA". From Rfam's summary of the family: Transfer RNA (tRNA) molecules are approximately 80 nucleotides in length. The record is from Rfam. NCBI's taxonomy places the organism in Eukaryota, Fungi, Ascomycota, Saccharomycetes, Saccharomycetales, Saccharomycetaceae.
GCUCGUGUAGCUCAGUGGUUAGAGCUUCGUGCUUAUAGUGGCAUUCGGAAAUUCCGAAGCUUUACUGUACAAAGCGGUCUUCAUUGACCGGCUAAGCAACGCGACCGUCGUGGGUUCAAACCCCACCUCGAGCA